GACGAACGCUGGCGGCGUGCUUAACACAUGCAAGUCGAACGGAAAGGCCCUGCUUGCCGGGUACUCGAGUGGCGAACGGGUGAGUAACACGUGGGUGAUCUGCCCUGCACUUCGGGAUAAGCCUGGGAAACUGGGUCUAAUACCGGAUAUGACCUUCCAUGUAGUGUGGGGGGUGGAAAGAUUUAUCGGUGUGGGAUGAGCCCGCGGCCUAUCAGCUUGUUGGUGGGGUAAUGGCCUACCAAGGCGUCGACGGGUAGCCGGCCUGAGAGGGUGGACGGCCACAUUGGGACUGAGAUACGGCCCAGACUCCUACGGGAGGCAGCAGUGGGGAAUAUUGCACAAUGGGCGGAAGCCUUAUGCAGCGACGCCGCGUGGGGGAUGACGGCCUUCGGGUUGUAAACCUCUUUCGACAGGGACGAAGCUUCGGUGACGGUACCUGUAUAAGAAGCACCGGCUAACUACGUG
RNAcentral lists this ribosomal RNA (465 nucleotides) under uncultured bacterium. RNAcentral describes it as "partial 16S ribosomal RNA". It matches the Rfam family "Bacterial small subunit ribosomal RNA", at positions 28 to 507 of the family's 1533-position model. The record is from RNAcentral.